CCUACGGGUGGCUGCAGUGAGGAAUAUUGGUCAAUGGGCGCGAGCCUGAACCAGCCAAGUCGCGUGAGGGAGGACGGCCCUACGGGUUGUAAACCUCUUUUGCCGGGGAGCAACGGGCGCCACGUGUGGCGUCACUGAGAGUACCCGGAGAAAAAGCAUCGGCUAACUCCGUGCCAGCAGCCGCGGUAAUACGGAGGAUGCGAGCGUUAUCCGGAUUUAUUGGGUUUAAAGGGUGCGUAGGCGGAUCGUUAAGUCAGUGGUCAAAUUGAGGGGCUCAACCCCUUCCCGCCAUUGAAACUGGCGUUCUUGAGUGGGAGAGAAGUAUGCGGAAUGCGUGGUGUAGCGGUGAAAUGCUUAGAUAUCACGCAGAACCCCGAUUGCGAAGGCAGCCUGCCAAGCCAUUACUGACGCUGAUGCACGAAAGCGUGGGGAUCAAACAGGAUUAGAUACCCGGGUAGUC
Molecule: ribosomal RNA, 460 nt
Filed under: uncultured bacterium
Lineage: Bacteria
Description: partial 16S ribosomal RNA
Rfam family: Bacterial small subunit ribosomal RNA
Source: RNAcentral